CCUACGGGUGGCAGCAGUGGGGAAUAUUGGACAAUGGGGGGAACCCUGAUCCAGCCAUGCCGCGUGUGUGAAGAAGGCCCUCGGGUUGUAAAGCACUUUCAGUGAGGAAGAACGCCUGGUGGUUAAUACCCAUCAGGAAAGACAUCACUCACAGAAGAAGCACCGGCUAACUCCGUGCCAGCAGCCGCGGUAAUAUGGAGGGUGCGAGCGUUAAUCGGAAUUACUGGGCGUAAAGCGCGCGUAGGUGGCUUGAUAAGCCGGUUGUGAAAGCCCCGGGCUCAACCUGGGAACGGCAUCCGGAACUGUCAAGCUAGAGUGCAGGAGAGGAAGGUAGAAUUCCCGGUGUAGCGGUGAAAUGCGUAGAGAUCGGGAGGAAUACCAGUGGCGAAGGCGGCCUUCUGGACUGACACUGACACUGAGGUGCGAAAGCGUGGGUAGCAAACAGGAUUAGAUACCCUUGUAGUC
This 465-nucleotide ribosomal RNA is filed under the name Vreelandella stevensii. RNAcentral's name for it is "partial 16S ribosomal RNA". It matches the Rfam family "Bacterial small subunit ribosomal RNA", at positions 338 to 795 of the family's 1533-position model. Lineage: Bacteria; Pseudomonadati; Pseudomonadota; Gammaproteobacteria; Oceanospirillales; Halomonadaceae. The record is from RNAcentral.